Molecule: small RNA, 235 nt
Filed under: Sinorhizobium meliloti 2011
Lineage: Bacteria; Pseudomonadati; Pseudomonadota; Alphaproteobacteria; Hyphomicrobiales; Rhizobiaceae
Description: putative ncRNA
Source: RNAcentral
GUCGACGGACGGCGCGGGGCUCGCCUUCGGCGAGGCUCCGGCGCAAGUCGAGUACCACAUCGGGCUUUACGACACCUUUUUGCCGGGUUUCGACAGGAUCAUGGCGGAUGCGGUCGCCGUGUCGUUUGGGCGUGAUCGAUACCCCGCGCCGCCGGUGCACGAUGUUUUGAUAGAAAUGGAAACGUAACCGGCGGUUUUCCUUGGCAAGGUCACCCCGGACACCUAUGUUAGGGAC